UUUCCCUUUAAUUUAAUUACCUUCUUCAUAUCGGAUCAAAUACCCGAACCAAAAAAAAAAAAUUAACCCUCUUCAAUCCUUGAAUAAAAUAUCCCCAAAACCUUAAUUCCUUUCUUAGUUCUCGUCAAAUUCAGCAUUAAUAGAGUGAAAUCAAGUAUGUAGCAUCUUAAGUUCUUCGUUCGAAAGUAUAAAUUUUACUCCAAUUCAAAACAAGUAUAGUGUAAGGUUCUUUUUUAUUUCUUUGGUGUUAUAACUUGUAGAUUCAAGGUCAGUUGGAAGGCUAAGUUUGCAUUUCGUCCAAAGGUAUAAGUGGGUUUAUAUUCAUCACUGUAAGAUUGUAUCAUGGUGGGAAUUUAAUUUUUGGAGAUGAUAAUGAACCAAGAUAUUUGGGUGGGGUAAUGAGUGAAUAUGUUGAUGUUGAUGUGGAUACACUUUCCUAUUUUGAGCUGAAGGACUAAAGAACUAGGGUACAACUCAACUUGCAAAUUUAGUAUUCGGCCACCUAAUAGUGGCAUUUUAGGAUGACAAUGAUAGGGUUCUUUCAAGAAUUGAUGGGGUUUUGCAAAGUGGACAGACUUUGAAAGUAUAUGUGCACAUGCCUGAGUGAGAAUCUAAUUCUACUUUUAAUAAAGGGUUAGGGACCAUUAAAACAAGUGCUAGUCAAAAUAUUGAAAUUGGUGAGUUUGCUUUAAACGUUGUAGCUUCAACUCCAAAUAUUGUCCUAAAUACUACUCCUCUGUUAGAAGUAGUACCUCCAAAUACUCAAGAUCCAUUAGAUCCAGCAGCUGCUCCAUCAGAUUCUGAAAACAGUGAAUUUUCAGUAAAGGGACCUGAUGAAUCAACUGAUGAUAGUCCAGAUUCUGAAAAUGGUGACUUACUUGGAGAGGAUGAUUAUUUCAGUGAUGUAUAUGAGGAGUACAUAGAUCUUAGGCAUGAGAGAAGGGAAGCACCGAAGAGGAAAAGAACGGAGAGAAUUCCUGCACUGAAGACGUACCAUGUGGUGAAGCUGGACCAGAUUUGGGCUUUGAUGAGACUGAAACUGGUAAAAAAAGUUUAGAAGGAAGGCUAGGGGGUGAUGGACCAUAUUACCCAAUUUCUGAUGCUCGUAACUUUGAAACUGAUGAUGAUGAAGAUUGGUUUGAAGAAGGGGAACAGAGGAGGGUAAAAUUAUCAAAAUCAAGAAGGAAAAAUACUGCUGCAAAGGGUGUGAAAUUUGAUCCAACUUGUAAAAAAAUUGUGUGGCAGUUGGGAAUGAGUUUAGAGAUGCAGUUACUAGGUAUGCACUUCAGAGGAGUGUUCAAAUUGAGAAGUAUGUCAAUGCUCCUACUAGAGUUAGGGUGAGGUAUUGCAAGUGGCUUUUGUUUGCUAGCCUUGACAGUGUAAGUAAUAAUUUUGUUAUUAGGACUUACAUUCCAGUACAUAACUGUGAGAAGUCAUUCAGAAAUUACUUGUGCAAUUCUAAGUUUUUGGCUAGUGUCUUAAAAAUAGAAUAAUUGAACAACCAAACAUAAGAGUGUUUAAGUUAAAAGAGUUAAUUAGGAAGAAGUUCAAAGUCUAUGUUGGUAAGACCACAGCUCGGAGACCAAGAGCAAGAGUGCUUAAAGAGAUUACGGGUGAACAUAUUCUUGAGUUUGGGAGAAUUCGUAAUUAUAGGGAUGAGUUGUUAAGGACAAACUCUGGGAGUACUUGUGUUGUGAAUCUUGGUGAAGCUAAUGAUCUUGGUAGGCCAGUUUUUGAAGAUUUUUACAUCUGUUUUGAUGCACUCAAGAAGGCAUUCAUGGCUGUUUGGAAAUGCAUAGGAUUAGAUGGUUGUUUUUUGAAUGUAAUAAGUAGGGGCAAUUACUAUGUGUCGUGGCUAAGGAUGGGAAUAACCAAAUACUUCCACUUGCUUGGGCAGUAGUGGAAUAUGAGAACAAAAAUACUUGAACCUGGUUUUUGACUUUGCUGAAGAAGGACUUGGGAUUAGGAGAUGGCAUAAAAUAGACUGUAAUUUCAGACAUGCAAAAGCAAAUUAAAGAUUUCUUCGAAGUGAAGUAAGAUGGAAGAAGAAUAGUCCAUGGCAUAUGAGAUUACGAGGCUAUAAAUGAUCUUAUGUAGAUUGCAAGACAAGAAGUAAGUUGGAAAGUGAAAAGUAAGCUUCCAGGUAUGUAAGGCAAACCAGCUUCCAGGUAUGUAAGGCAAACAUUUCUUCCUUUGGCAUGAUUCUUGUUGUUAUUCGUUCUAUAUGUACUCCAUAUGAUUCCAUUCUUAGACGAGUAAGGUCUAAAUGUUUCUUGUGAUGGCUUAUUGAUAUACUCUUAUUCUGUUCUGAAGGGAACACCCAUAAGGUGCCAAGUUGAGUUGUGUAUAUGAUUUUACUAAUGAUUUCGAGGAAAUGAAUUUUAUACUAAAGGAAACAUAAAGUUUGACUUUCAAAACCACUCUGAAGGGGGUGCGAGAUUUUACUACUUCAUUUCAUUUACGAUUUAUGUUUACAUUCCAUAGUAUCAUCCCUUUGUAUUGAUAUGAUCAUUUAUUCUUUAGAUAGGGCAAUAAUAUGAAAUUGAGUAGAAUAUAAGUAGUAAGAAUUUCAUAACAAUACUACCCUCAAACCUGGAAGUAUGUCCUCCUAAGUCUAGUGAGAUACAAAUUUGAUAACUUCUUAUGAGAGACUAAGGCUAAUAAUUAGAUUGUGAUGAAUUGAUUAGUGACUUAUGCUUUGAAUUGAAAUUGAUAUUUGUGGAUUGGUUUUGUGUUUAUAUGAUGGUGAUAUUAAGCCGGAAGCGGCUGCCCGAAGGGGCUACCCUAGCUAAGCCAGAAGCGGCUGCCCGAAGGGGCCAUCAUUAUUAUGCCGGAAGCUGCCGUUUGAAGGGACUAUUGUGAUACUAGCUGGAAGCAGCUGUCCGAAGGGACCAUUCUGUUAACAUGUCGGAAGCGGCAUGUGUGUUGGAUUUCAUUAUUUACUUAAAGAUUGUCUUGAGACUUCGUGUGCACAUUUAUGUUUCUUCCAGCGAAGGCCGCAGGUAUUGAGUUAGAUUGUGAUUUCUUCUCUCCUAAGUCAAAUUAUGAUUAUGACUUGUUACCACCUUACAUACUCAGUACAUUGUCCGUACUGACGUCCUUUUGCCUAGGGACGCUGCGUUCAUGCCCAUAGCCCCAGAUUGUUUGGCAGGUUAAGUGUAUAGCUAAGAUGCUUAGACGUCAGCUGGGAUUGGCAAGUGCCACCUCAUUCUGGAGCUGUGCUGAGUCAUGUAUAGAUAUGUAUGAUUAUGGGUAUGUCAGGGCCCUAUCCUGACUCAGAAUGUUCAGUUUACUUCUUAGAGACUUAUGCAGAUAGUGUUUUGUGGUAUAAUUGUCGAGAUGUCGACAAAGUGAUAUCAGUUGAGUCAUUUGUGGAUUUUAAAAGGGUAUGUAUUUUAGAUGAUUUCAAUUGGUUUAAAGUACUUAUUUGAUUGAAAGUUUUCAUAAUCGUUAUAAAGAUAAUGAUUUUUAUUUGGAAAAGUUUUAUGUUCUUAAAAGUUUUUGAAAUGACAGGUUUUGAUAGAGCAAAUGUAUGAGGGUUCGCUCGACUCUAACGAGAGUCAGGUGCCGGUCAUGCCCUAUCAGGAUUGGAGUGUGACACAGGCAGACCCAAAACAAAUAGAAGAAAAGAGACAAUGGAAACUAAGAAGUCUGGUAAACUGCCUAAAACUGGUAUGGCCAUGACAUGUAGUUUCUGCCAUAUUAGGGGUCACAACAAAAGAGGGUGUCCUUUGAAGAGAAGUGAUGGAAUAAAUAUUGGUUCAUCAGCAAGUAUUGCACAUGAUCAAUCUGCUGCAAAUCCAUUAAGUUCAACAAAGGGAAGGGGCAGACCAAAGAAAACAACAACUACUGAAGCUGAGCCUGCUAUAAAGAAGAGGAGAGGCAGACCUAAAAAAACAGGUGAUCCACCUAGCACUGCAAAUAAACCAAUUGUUGCUGCUGAAUUUCCAUCAAGUUUAACACAUUAUGAUCUUGGCAGCUGGUUUGAAUGUUCUGCUCCUAACCCAACAAUAAAUGUGGCUGCUGAAAUGUCUUCAAGAGCUGUUGGUUGUUAAAAAAGAGCUAGAGGUGCUAGAGGAAGGGGAAGGGGUGUGGGAAGUUGGAUUACAUGUUCUCAAACAUCAGAUGGACCUACUACAUCUGUUGUACCUAAUUCAGCUGAUGUAAGUAGAGGAAAGGGAAAUGGAAAGGAAAUAGGAAGUACAACUCCAUAUAAAAGGCCAAGAGUGAAAGGAAUGAGUGUGUUUCAAGCUGAGAAUGGCUUCACAACUUUUAAU
This is an RNA transcript of Lycium barbarum (goji berry), 4277 nucleotides long. RefSeq lists it as uncharacterized. The record is from RefSeq and is a predicted model, not a curated record. The transcript has 4 exons. Lineage: Eukaryota; Viridiplantae; Streptophyta; Magnoliopsida; Solanales; Solanaceae.